Molecule: ribosomal RNA, 495 nt
Filed under: uncultured bacterium
Lineage: Bacteria
Description: partial 16S ribosomal RNA
Rfam family: Bacterial small subunit ribosomal RNA
Source: RNAcentral
GACGAACGCUGGCGGCGUGCCUAAUACAUGCAAGUAGAACGCUGAAGGAGGAGCUUGCUUCUCUGGAUGAGUUGCGAACGGGUGAGUAACGCGUAGGUAACCUGCCUGGUAGCGGGGGAUAACUAUUGGAAACGAUAGCUAAUACCGCAUAAUAGUAGAUGUUGCAUGACAUUUGCUUAAAAGGUGCAAUUGCAUCACUACCAGAUGGACCUGCGUUGUAUUAGCUAGUUGGUGGGGUAACGGCUCACCAAGGCGACGAUACAUAGCCGACCUGAGAGGGUGAUCGGCCACACUGAGACUGAGACAGGGCACAGACGCCUACGGGAGGGAGCAGGAGGGAAUCGGCGGGAAGGGACGGAAGACUGAGCGAGAAACGCCGAGGGAGGGAAGAAGGAUGUCGGAUCGUAAAGGUCGGUUGUAAGAGAAGAACGAGUGUGAGAGUGGAAAGUUCACAGUGUGACGGUAACUUACAAGAAAGAGACGGCUAACUACGUG